Molecule: ribosomal RNA, 255 nt
Filed under: uncultured bacterium
Lineage: Bacteria
Description: partial 16S ribosomal RNA
Rfam family: Bacterial small subunit ribosomal RNA
Source: RNAcentral
UACGUAGGGUGCGAGCGUUGUCCGGAAUUAUUGGGCGUAAAGAGCUCGUAGGCGGUGUGUCACGUCGGCCGUGAAAACCUGCAGCUUAACUGUGGGCGUGCGGUCGAUACGGGCAUCACUGGAGUUCGGCAGGGGAGACUGGAAUUCCUGGUGUAGCGGUGAAAUGCGCAGAUAUCAGGAGGAACACCGGUGGCGAAGGCGGGUCUCUGGGCAGUAACUGACGCUGGAGGAGCGAAAGCGUGGGGAGCGAACAGG